This 439-nucleotide ribosomal RNA is filed under the name uncultured bacterium. RNAcentral's name for it is "bacterial SSU rRNA". It matches the Rfam family "Bacterial small subunit ribosomal RNA", at positions 29 to 497 of the family's 1533-position model. The record is from RNAcentral.
AACGAAUGCUGGCGGCAGGCCUAACACAUGCAAGUCGAACGAGAAGCACACUUCGGUGUGUGGAAAGUGGCAGACGGGUGAGUAACAUGUGGGAAUCUACCCAGAGGUACGGAAUAAUGCAGGGAAACUUGUACUAAUACCGUAUGUGCCCCUUCGGGGGGAAAGCGUUAUGUAGCGCCUUUGGAUGAGCCCGCACUGGAUUAGGUAGUUGGUAGGGUAACGGCCUACCAAGCCUACGAUCUAUAGCUGGUCUGAGAGGAUGAUCAGCCACACUGGAACUGAGACACGGUCCAGACUCCUACGGGAGGCAGCAGUGGGGAAUAUUGCACAAUGGGCGCAAGCCUGAUGCAGCCAUGCCGCGUGAGUGAAGAAGGCCCUAGGGUUGUAAAACUCUUUCGCCAGGGAAGAUAAUGACGGUACCUGGUAAAGAAGCCCCGCC